GCCCGGGUGGUGGAAUUGGCAGACACGCACGACUCAAAAUCGUGUGCCGAAAGGCAUGGGAGUUCGACUCUCCCCCCGGGCACCA
This 85-nucleotide transfer RNA is filed under the name Candidatus Sungbacteria bacterium RIFCSPLOWO2_01_FULL_47_10. RNAcentral describes it as "tRNA-Leu". It matches the Rfam family "tRNA". Rfam says of the family: Transfer RNA (tRNA) molecules are approximately 80 nucleotides in length. Their secondary structure includes four short double-helical elements and three loops (D, anti-codon, and T loops). Lineage: Bacteria; Candidatus Sungiibacteriota. The record is from RNAcentral.